ACAGCUCUUACCCUAAUUCUCUGUGUGAAAUUAUUCUCAGGGCCAGGCUAUGAAAAUCAGCUGAAAGACCUCAUGAAUGCAGAGAUCUCACCCUACCUGCAAAAGUUUGAUGGGAACUUGAAAGACAACAUUUACUAUGAAAACCUGUUCCAAAGUAUUGCUGACAAUUUCACCGCAGAAGCUUCCAAACUGCCCAGAGCACCUGGAUGCUUUCCCCCAUGUGGUUAAAACACAGCAGGUGGAAAAGUUCAAGGAGGUGACUGUGGGGAUGGACCGACUCUAUGCCAUUCCAUCUGUCCAUUUUGACGACCAGGGCACAUAUCAGUGUGAAGUCUUCUCUCGAGGCAAUUCCAUUAUUAGAAUCUACUACUACCUAACAGUGACUCCUCAGGUGGUGGUAGGUCAUGCUGAACUGCAGGAUAUAUUUAACAUCGCUCUCCUUCCGGGGGGUCAAAUCCCACCCCACCUAGUUGCUGCACAUGAACUCACCCUGAUAGAUGUUCCCUCCCCUGCUCUCCUGACUGCGUGUCUGACUGCAAUGCUGUUGAUGCUCUUCCUUUCCAUGGGGUUUUUGUACUGGUGGUGGACUCAGAGAACAGAGUCCAGUCCUGAUGAAUAUCAAGCUCUGAGCCGCCCAGUGACGAGAACAGUUUUGCUUCAGUGAAGGCCUUCAGAUUCUCCAGAUUCUUCUUUGAGCGGUUCUGGAAUUUGACAAUUUCUCACAUUCAUAUAAACCCAUUUCCUGGAAUUACACUCACUUUUCUCAAAAUUACAAUCACAAAAUCAAGAACUCAUACUUCACCAAACAACAAAACAAAAAUGACUGAAAAGCACAUUAACUUUGUUCAAAAUUUGCUUUCCCUUCAGAUCACAUUAACAGUAAACAAAUUUUAUGCCUUAUUACUUGAACAGCAAAGCUACUUGUGAUGCAUUAACUUUUGUCUCUCGACAUAAAAUAUUAGAACCUUUAUUCUGCAUUGCAAAUCUGGAAGACAUAGAGGUAUUCAUGUAUCAACAUCCUGUACUUCCAGGAAUUUAACACUGGCCCAAAUCCAGACUGUUACAUUGUGUAUUAGAUGACACAAAAAAUCUGCUCUGCUAUUGUGAAAUGAAAUAUUUCUAAGUCAUCUGCAAUCUUUUUCUCCCCUGGAAAUUUAAAUAUACUUUUUUCUGAGUUCUGCGUGCAAGUUUUAUCUAAAUGUACUACCUAAAAGUAAGAGAAAGGGAGACAGGGAUUUUGGGAUGCAAUGAAAGGAUGAAUCUGUGAUAAAAGACCCUCAAUUCCAGAUUGAAACCUGAUGGAAGGAUAUAGGAUGGAGUAGCUGAAUGAAGCCACUAGCAGCGGUGACACGUUAAAGUGAUCCAUGAAGAUAUGAAUAGGGAAAGGUGGGCGAUAUAGAACACUCACUGAAAGGAUACAGAAAAGUGGAGAAAUUCAAGCAUGAAGGAGGAAAGGGAAGAGAUGGGAUUCCAAUUCAUGGAGCAAACCUGUAGCUUGUACCCGUGUUAAAGGGCUGGUGGAAAAAGAAUAGUUUGAGAAGUGAUACACUGUAGUGGCUGAAAGCAAGAUGUAAGCAGACAUGAAAUCUGCCCUCUGCAAGGCACUCUGUUAUUUUCAGAUACCAUGAUGAAACUCAAGAGGGUGGGAUGAGCUCUAGGAGGUCAAACUAAGUUGCUAAUGUCUGUGAUGACAUCGAUUGCCUAUACUGGUAUCCUAGGUCAGAAGGAAUAAAGCACAUUUUCUUAACA
Molecule: long non-coding RNA, 1749 nt
Filed under: Scleropages formosus (Asian bonytongue)
Lineage: Eukaryota; Metazoa; Chordata; Actinopteri; Osteoglossiformes; Osteoglossidae
Description: lncRNA (ENSSFOG00015029435.1)
Source: RNAcentral